UCUCCUGGAAAACGGGUGGUAAUGCCGGAUGCUCCAUCACACCGCAUGGUGUGUUGGGAAAGCCUUUGCGGCAUGGGAUGGGGUCGCGUCCUAUCAGCUUGAUGGCGGGGUAACGGCCCACCAUGGCUUCGACGGGUAGCCGGCCUGAGAGGGCGACCGGCCACAUUGGGACUGAGAUACGGCCCAGACUCCUACGGGAGGCAGCAGUGGGGAAUAUUGCACAAUGGGCGCAAGCCUGAUGCAGCGACGCCGCGUGAGGGAUGGAGGCCUUCGGGUUGUAAACCUCUUUUGUUAGGGAGCAAGGCAUUUUGUGUUGAGUGUACCUUUCGAAUAAGCACCGGCUAACUACGUGCCAGCAGCCGCGGUAAUACGUAGGGUGCAAGCGUUAUCCGGAAUUAUUGGGCGUAAAGGGCUCGUAGGCGGUUCGUCGCGUCCGGUGUGAAAGUCCAUCGCUUAACGGUGGAUCCGCGCCGGGUACGGGCGGGCUUGAGUGCGGUAGGGGAGACUGGAAUUCCCGGUGUAACGGUGGAAUGUGUAGAUAUC
This 543-nucleotide ribosomal RNA is filed under the name Bifidobacterium breve. RNAcentral's name for it is "bacterial SSU rRNA". It matches the Rfam family "Bacterial small subunit ribosomal RNA", at positions 146 to 698 of the family's 1533-position model. The record is from RNAcentral. Lineage: Bacteria; Bacillati; Actinomycetota; Actinomycetes; Bifidobacteriales; Bifidobacteriaceae.